UUUAGAAAACUUUAGUUUGAUCAACAAAAACAGAAUCUAAGUCUUUUAAACAUCUUUUAACAAUAAAAUCUCACCACAAACUAUUUAUAAUCAUACCUAAUAUCCCAAAAAUCUGGCAAAAAUCUUUGAUCUCCAAACUCCAAUUCUUUCUUCAAACUUCGUCUUCUAACUCUUCGCCUCCGUUUGGUUCGGGAUUAAGGAAAAAGUAGCUAUUCCAGGGAUAGAGUUAAGUUCAGGGUUAAAGUGGGGUUAAAGUUUUUUUGUGUUUGGUUGGGGGUUGGAGUUAGUAUAGAAUAAUGAAAAAUAGUGUUUGGUUGGGUAGGUGGGAUAAGAAGAUAAUGAUUGAUAAAGAAGGAUAAUGAUUGGUUGGAGUAGGUGUGAUAAGAAAGAUAGUGGGUUAUUAUGAAUAGAAAAUAGUAUUUGGUUGGAGUUUGGUGGGGUUAGGUGGGGUUAGCUAACCCGGGAUAAUUUAUUUGAGGUGGGGUUAGGUGGGGUUAGCUAACCCCACCUAUUUUUUGGGGUGUUUGGGGAUAAAAUGGGGGUUAAGGGGUUAUUCCACCCCUUAACCCCC
This 571-nucleotide long non-coding RNA is filed under the name Ananas comosus (pineapple). RNAcentral's name for it is "long non-coding RNA (ACOM_LNC012042)". Lineage: Eukaryota; Viridiplantae; Streptophyta; Magnoliopsida; Poales; Bromeliaceae. The record is from RNAcentral.